Molecule: transfer RNA, 73 nt
Filed under: Gossypium longicalyx
Lineage: Eukaryota; Viridiplantae; Streptophyta; Magnoliopsida; Malvales; Malvaceae
Description: tRNA-Trp
Rfam family: tRNA
About the family: Transfer RNA (tRNA) molecules are approximately 80 nucleotides in length. Their secondary structure includes four short double-helical elements and three loops (D, anti-codon, and T loops). Further hydrogen bonds mediate the characteristic L-shaped molecular structure. tRNAs have two regions of fundamental functional importance: the anti-codon, which is responsible for specific mRNA codon recognition, and the 3' end, to which the tRNAs corresponding amino acid is attached (by aminoacyl-tRNA synthetases). tRNAs cope with the degeneracy of the genetic code in two manners: having more than one tRNA (with a specific anti-codon) for a particular amino acid; and 'wobble' base-pairing, i.e. permitting non-standard base-pairing at the 3rd anti-codon position.
Source: RNAcentral
CGCUUUUAGUUCAGUUCGGUAGAACGUGGGUCUUCCAAACCCAAUGUUGUAGGUUCCAAUCCUUCCGAGCGUG